GAUUUGCAAGAAUGCAUGAAGGAACUUGGCAUUGUGAAGGCGAUACUACCAAAAGUGUUUUAGGAGAGGGAUUUCAUAUGGGAGGAAGUUAAGAGAUACAGUGAGAUGAACAUGCUGUUGAAUUAUGAGAUCAACAUGUUGAAAAGGAAGGGCUCUGCAUCUUGGACUUCUAUAUGUUGGUUCACUUGUGGUACUUCUUGUGUAUUCUAUCCUGUAUGGUCUGACAGCAAAGGAAUCAAACUGGCUUGGGGCUACAACAUCAGCUGCCGUGAUAAUCCUUGAUUGGAACUUGGGAGCUUGCUUGUAUGGUUUUAAGCUUCUGAAAAGUUGAGUCGUCAUACUUUUUA
Molecule: long non-coding RNA, 347 nt
Organism: Capsicum annuum
Lineage: Eukaryota; Viridiplantae; Streptophyta; Magnoliopsida; Solanales; Solanaceae
Exons: 3
Source: RefSeq, a predicted model, not a curated record